Molecule: long non-coding RNA, 214 nt
Filed under: Elaeis guineensis (African oil palm)
Lineage: Eukaryota; Viridiplantae; Streptophyta; Magnoliopsida; Arecales; Arecaceae
Description: long non-coding RNA (EGUI_LNC069337)
Source: RNAcentral
UGUAAGGGAGCUAGCAUCUCGAUAAGAUUAAAAAGCUUAUGAUCAAAUCAAAGUCUUAUGUGGAUAUCUGUAAAAGUCGGAUGCUUGUGCGACUACAAGGGACCUUCAAAAAAUAUCUAUGAUCAUCAGUUCGUGGUAAAGAUUGAUCCAUGCCAAGGUAUGUUCUUAGUUUAUUUUUUUCUAUUUGAUUUCUAUAUCUAAAUCUUAUCUCACA